UUGAACGCACAUUGCGGCCAUGGGCUAGCUCAUGGCCACGCCUGUCCGAGGGUCGGCUUAUAAACUAUCACGACGCCCAAAAAGUCGUGGCUUGGGUCUUGCCAGCUGACGUGAUUUCCCUAUUGGUGCAAACUAACGGGGUGUCAGAUCUAUGGCGUUUCCCUAAUAAUUCCAGUUACAACCUCCUUUUGGCUGAAGGCUAUAUUGGAGGGUGACUGUGGAGUCGUGGCUCAAUGGUUAUGUUUGCGCGCGCUCUGCAUUGUCACCACUGUAUCUGUCAAACGUGAAAUGCUUUGUGCAUUUUACCUGACCUCGGAUCAGACGUGAAUACCCGCUGAACUUAAGCAUAUCACUAAGCGGAGGAAAAGAAACUAACAAGGAUUCCCUUAGUAACGGCGAGUGAACAGGGAAAAGCCCAGCACCGAAGCCUGUGGCCAUUUGGUCAUUAGGCAAUGUGGUGUUUAGGUCGUUCCACAGAGGUUCUGCUCCAUCCUAAGUCCAUCAAUGAGUACGGUAGUAUGGACAUGGCCCAUUGAGGGUGAAAGGCCCGUGGGGGUGGAGACAUCGAAAGGCCAGAGCCUCUCUGGGUAGACCUUGGAGUCGGGUUGUUUGUGAAUGC
This 619-nucleotide ribosomal RNA is filed under the name Alloglossidium corti. Its description in RNAcentral is "eukaryotic LSU rRNA". The stretch from base 308 to 619 matches the Rfam family "Eukaryotic large subunit ribosomal RNA", at positions 1 to 283 of the family's 3401-position model. Lineage: Eukaryota; Metazoa; Platyhelminthes; Trematoda; Plagiorchiida; Alloglossidiidae. The record is from RNAcentral.